GACGAACGCUGGCGGCGUGCUUAACACAUGCAAGUCGAACGGAAAGGCCCUGCAUUUGUGGGGUGCUCGAGUGGCGAACGGGUGAGUAACCCGUGAGUAACCUGCCCUUGACUUUGGGAUAACUUCAGGAAACUGGGGCUAAUACCGGAUAGGAGCUCCUGCUGCAUGGUGGGGGUUGGAAAGUUUCGGCGGUUGGGGAUGGACUCGCGGCUUAUCAGCUUGUUGGUGGGGUAGUGGCUUACCAAGGCUUUGACGGGUAGCCGGCCUGAGAGGGUGACCGGCCACAUUGGGACUGAGAUACGGCCCAGACUCCUACGGGAGGCAGCAGUGGGGAAUAUUGCACAAUGGGCGGAAGCCUGAUGCAGCAACGCCGCGUGCGGGAUGACGGCCUUCGGGUUGUAAACCGCUUUCGCCUGUGACGAAGCGUGAGUGACGGUAAUGGGUAAAGAAGCACCGGCUAACUACGUG
Molecule: ribosomal RNA, 468 nt
Filed under: uncultured bacterium
Lineage: Bacteria
Description: partial 16S ribosomal RNA
Rfam family: Bacterial small subunit ribosomal RNA
Source: RNAcentral